This 447-nucleotide ribosomal RNA is filed under the name uncultured bacterium. Its description in RNAcentral is "bacterial SSU rRNA". It matches the Rfam family "Bacterial small subunit ribosomal RNA", at positions 355 to 825 of the family's 1533-position model. The record is from RNAcentral.
UGGGGAAUUUUGGACAAUGGGGGCAACCCUGAUGCAGCGACGCCGCGUGAGUGAUGAAGUCCUUCGGGAUGUAAAGCUCUUUCGACAGGGACGAUUAUGACGGUACCUGGAGAAGAAGCUGCGGCUAACUACGUGCCAGCAGCCGCGGUAAUACGAAGGGGGCUAGCGUUGUUCGGAAUUACUGGGCGUAAAGCGCACGUAGGCGGAUGUGCCAGUCAGGGGUGAAAUCCCGAGGCUCAACCUCGGAACUGCCUCCGAUACAGCACGUCUCGAGUCCGGAAGAGGUGAGUGGAAUUCCUAGUGUAGAGGUGAAAUUCGUAGAUAUUAGGAAGAACACCAGUGGCGAAGGCGGCUCACUGGUCCGGUACUGACGCUGAGGUGCGAAAGCGUGGGGAGCAAACAGGAUUAGAUACCCACGUAGUCCCUGAGCGGGCUGGCAAGGCGCAU